UACGGAGGGUGCAAGCGUUAUCCGGAUUCACUGGGUUUAAAGGGUGCGUAGGUGGGCAAGUAAGUCAGUGGUGAAAUCUCCGGGCUUAACCCGGAAACUGCCAUUGAUACUAUUUGUCUUGAAUACUGUGGAGGUCAGCGGAAUAUGUCAUGUUGCGGUGAAAUGCUUAGAUAUGACAUAGAACACCAAUUGCGAAGGCAGCUGGCUACACAAAUAUUGACACUGAGGCACGAAAGCGUGGGGAUCAAACAGG
Molecule: ribosomal RNA, 253 nt
Filed under: uncultured bacterium
Lineage: Bacteria
Description: partial 16S ribosomal RNA
Rfam family: Bacterial small subunit ribosomal RNA
Source: RNAcentral